AUGGGAGGCGCCCCCGCGCUCGGCUCCGCCAAUCAGAUGGCGAGGACGGCGUCCCCCGUCCCCAUGGAGACCGAGGGGGGGAGCGCGGGAGAGGAGCCCCCGGGCCCGGCCAUGGAGCGCGGAGCGCGGCGGGGGACGGAGACCCCCAGAGGGGUGGCUCUGACCGGCUGUGUGCCCCCAAAGCAUGGGGGGGACCCCCGGGAUGAGCCCCCCCCGUGCACCGUGAGGAUGCGGGGGGACGUGCUGCUGCCCGUGGGGGGCUCGUGCCGGGGGGACGCGGCUGGGGAGCCCCCCGGGGUGGUGGUGGUGGACGGCGGUGAGGAGCCGGGCGCAGACGAGGAGCAGCAGGAGGAGCAGGAGGCCGCAGCCGAGGAGGUCCCAAAGGUGCUGGCUGUGGCCACGGAGCCCCCCCGAGGUGCCGGCCCCGAUGGCCGUGCAGGUCGUGCCCCGCGGGAGCUGCUUGAUCCACAACUGGCAGGAGGAGAGAGCCACCAACGACCUGGACCAGGUGCCGGUGCCGGAGAUGGGCAGCGAGGGCUUCGUCCACCGGCACGGCCACCGCGGGCUGCUGACCCUCCAGCCACCAGCCCAGCCGCCCCCCAGCAGCACCACCAAGCAGGCCUUUCGCCCGCCCCACAGCGUCCCGAUGCUGGCGAGAGGGCAGCGGGAGGCCAUGCUGGAGCUGAUGCUCUACCAGAAGUACAGGCAGGAGCUGCUGGAGGAGAUGUCCCCACCCCGUGCGCCCAUGGAGAGCCUCUCCACCACGCACCGGGAUUUCCAGGCAGGGGGCUUCCAGCCCACGCCGCCGCCCACCACCCAGCCCCACGACUACCGCACGGAGCAGCCCUGCAGCUUCUGGCUGGAGCAAGCCCGCAGCGUGCCCGGCGUCACCUGCAUCCGCACCGGGGACAGCCCCUUUCGGAGGAACGCUGCCUUCUCCACCCCCAUCACCGAGUACCUGGAGCAGCCCCUGCCCCACGUCGCCGAAAGCUACGGGGUGCGGCCGAGCAAGCAAUAAAGAGCAGGCGGUGUCCCUGCCCUGGCACCCAAGGGUGUCCCUGCGACCCUGCGCACCUUGGCUGUCCCCUGUGGGGCAGGGGACCCCGAUAA
Molecule: long non-coding RNA, 1110 nt
Filed under: Anas platyrhynchos platyrhynchos (common mallard)
Lineage: Eukaryota; Metazoa; Chordata; Aves; Anseriformes; Anatidae
Description: lncRNA (ENSAPLG00000021161.1)
Source: RNAcentral